This 261-nucleotide long non-coding RNA is filed under the name Olea europaea (common olive). RNAcentral's name for it is "long non-coding RNA (OEUR_LNC007986)". The record is from RNAcentral. Lineage: Eukaryota; Viridiplantae; Streptophyta; Magnoliopsida; Lamiales; Oleaceae.
ACUGCUUUAGGCACUUUCUCAAUUAUGUCAACGUUAAGUGUAUCGACUACAGGUGUGGUCAAAAUAGGUACACAAUGCACUGUUCACAACUUUUGACUUCUGUGAAAAUGGAGGAAAGAACUGCACUAUAAUCGUCUAAACAAAUCCCUAAAGAUUUAUAGCUCCAGACAAGUAAGGUUUGAUUAUGUCAGCACACUUCUCAAAAAGUCUUUCUAUCACACUAAAUGCAAUAGGAGGAACAUUUUUGUGUUUAUUGUGAAC